Molecule: long non-coding RNA, 235 nt
Organism: Physella acuta
Lineage: Eukaryota; Metazoa; Mollusca; Gastropoda; Physidae
Source: RefSeq, a predicted model, not a curated record
UUCAGUUUGUUGUAGCUCAUGAAAAUGAAACUGUUGCUUCUUUUUAUGGUAUGCCUCGCAAGUCUCAUGGUUGUAUCAGAAAGCUGUUCGUGUGGUACGACAAAUUUUAAUUGCACCAAAAAUGCUGAUUGUUGCGGGCAUUAUCAAUGCAGUUAUAUAUCUGGACGUGGUAUGUGCAAGCCUAAGAGAGGAAAUCAAAAAAUAAAUUAAACCCCCUGGACAUUACCCCCCCCCC